RNAcentral lists this ribosomal RNA (1297 nucleotides) under metagenome. RNAcentral's name for it is "SSU rRNA". It matches the Rfam family "Eukaryotic small subunit ribosomal RNA", at positions 493 to 1783 of the family's 1831-position model. The record is from RNAcentral.
UUUUUGGGCUUGGUAAUUGGAAUGAGGGAGAGUUAAACGGACCAUCGAGUAUCCAUUGGAGGGCAAGUCUGGUGCCAGCAGCUGCGGUAAUACCAGCUCCAAUAGCGUAUAUUAAAGUUGUUGCAGUUAAAAAGCUCGUAGUUGGACUUGUGUGCGCUGUCCGCGGGUGGCCUGCGCCCAAAAGGGCGUUUCGGUUCGGCCCCGGUGGCGCCUUGAAAUCUGCAGCUGGGGGGACGUUGGCCUUAACUGGUCGGCGACCGCACGCCGGCUGCUCGGUUACUGUGAGAAAAUUAGAGUGUUCAAGGCAGGCAUUGGGUGCAAUUGAAUACAUUAGCAUGGAAUAAUAAAAUAUGGCUCCUGCCGUAUUUUGUUGGUUUUGACUGGUGGGAGUAAUGAUUGAUAGGGACGGUUGGGGGUGCUAGUAUUGAGCGGCCAGAGGUGAAAUUCAUGGAUUCGCUCAAGACUAACUUAUGCGAAAGCAUUCACCAAGGACGUCCUCUUUAAUCAACAACGAAAGUUGGGGGAUCGAAGACGAUCAGACACCGUCGUAGUCUCAACCAUAAACUAUGUCGACUUGGGAUCGGCGGUAGUUUUUUCAUUAAGACACUGUCGGGACCACGGGAGAAAUCAAAGUGUCUGGACUCUGGGGGAAGUAUGGUCGCAAGGCUGAAACUUGAAGGAAUUGACGGAAGGGCACCACCAGGAGUGGAGCCUGCGGCUUAAUUUGACCCAACACGGGGAAACUUACCAGGUCCAGAGAUGUAGAGGAUUGACAGAUUGAAGCUCUUUCUUGAUCACUUCGGUGGUGGUGCAUGGCCGUUCUUAGUUGGUGGAGUGAUUUGUCUGGUUAAUUCCGUUAACGAACGAGACCUCAGCCUGCUAGUGUAGUCGGCUGGAUUGCCUUUGGCGAUCCGUGAUUCCGACUUCUUAGAGGGACAAUCGACGCGCAGUCGAUGGAAGUUUGAGGCAAUAACAGGUCUGUGAUGCCCUUAGAUGUUCUGGGCCGCACGCGCGCUACACUGCUGGGCUCAGCGAGUUUUACUUGGCCGAGAGGCCCGGUUAAUCUUGUGAAAUCCCAGCGUGCUUGGGCUCGCCUCCUGCAACUGGAGGCGCCAACGAGGAAUUCCUAGUAGACGCAGGUCAUCAACCUGCAUCGAUUACGUCCCUGCCCUUUGUACACACCGCCCGUCGUUCCAUAAGAGUGAGGCAUCCGGUGAAUUCUCGGGAGAGCCUGGGCGUGGCCAGCAAUGGUCUGCUCGGGUUUGAACUUGCAUAAACUUGGUGCCUAUGAUUAGGG